Molecule: ribosomal RNA, 504 nt
Filed under: uncultured bacterium
Lineage: Bacteria
Description: partial 16S ribosomal RNA
Rfam family: Bacterial small subunit ribosomal RNA
Source: RNAcentral
GAUGAACGCUAGCGGCAGGCUUAAUACAUGCAAGUCGAGGGGCAGCAUGACUGUAGCAAUACAGUUGAUGGCGACCGGCAAACGGGUGCGGAACACGUACAGAACCUUCCUUUAAGUGGUGAAUAGCCCAGAGAAAUUUGGAUUAAUACACCGUAAGAUAUAGAGUUGGCAUCAAUUUUAUAUUAUAGCUCCGGCGCUUAAAGAUGGCUGUGCGGCUGAUUAGGUAGUUGGCGGGGUAACGGCCCACCAAGCCUACGAUCAGUAACUGGUGUGAGAGCACGGCCAGUCACACGGGAACUGGGACACGGGCCCGACUCCUACGGGAGGCAGCAGUAAGGAAUAUUGGUCAAUGGACGCAAGUCUGAACCAGCCAUGCCGCGUGGAGGAUGAAGGUCCUCUGGAUUGUAAACUUCUUUUCUCUGGGGCGAAAACCUCCCAUUCUUGGGAGCUUGACAGUACCAGAGGAAUAAGCACCGGCUAACUCCGUGCCAGCAGCCGCAGUAA